CACGCUCAAAAUUGUGCUUUUGGAAUAGCUUUUAGGUUUCAAAAUCGUUUAAAAAAAAAAAAGGUUUGACAUUUUAACUUAAAUCUUUAUAAAGAAUAGAUAUUGAAAGUCAAAAAUCAUGCAAGGAUGCUCCUAAGCAAUGGAAUUAAGUACUUACUAGGCACAUUGUUUUCCCUUUUUUGAGAAAAAGGCUCUAUCAAACUUAAGUGCUUGUUGAUAAGCCACCAUAAUCCAAUCAUGGCCUGAAUAUGUUUAUAGUUUUUUAGACAUGAAGUCCUAAAAGAUUUUGCAAGCAAAUCCUAAAGGACUUGUUAAACACAUUUGGUUAACUUGGUCGACCAACACUUAUGUUUGAAAUUUAGCUGGCCCUCUUUUUGUAAGGUUUCACAAAAUUGGUAAUCCAAAAGCAUCCUAAGAAUCCUAGUACAGGGCAAAGUAAACCUUGACCAACGUCAUAAUGUUAACCAACAAUAAAGUACAUAUGCAUAAUCAGGUCAGGAAAUGUCGUCUGGAUUUCCAGCUUAGUCACUGGAUUGGCAGACAAUCACUAGAUGACUGACAGCCUCUGAAGUUUCGUGAAUACCAAAACAUGAUUUAAAUUUAGCAAUAUUAACCUGAAUACUUAUUUACAGAAGAUUUCUUAAAAUACCCAUUCA
This 656-nucleotide long non-coding RNA is filed under the name Coffea arabica (coffee). RNAcentral's name for it is "long non-coding RNA (CARA_LNC000169)". The record is from RNAcentral. Lineage: Eukaryota; Viridiplantae; Streptophyta; Magnoliopsida; Gentianales; Rubiaceae.